UUAAAUACUUAGCUCUUCUGCUACUCAUAGCAUAGCUUCGUAUUUGCAUCAUAAAGAGGAAGGGGUGUCACACUUUGUGACCAUUUCUUAUGUGCUCAGUAUCACAUAAGCACUUUCGAAAGAGGCAGCAAUGAAUUCCAGUCUCCUUCUAAAAACCACUAGGAGGAAGAUAAACUGCCCCCAUUCAGCCGCUUCAAUAGGUUGCUAGCUCAGAAUGCAUGACUUCUCCUGAAAAGUCAGCCAGGUGUAUUUAACUAUUUUUGAGUAAAGAUGAGACUAAGAAUCAGGUUUUUCCCUUCCUGGGAUAGUUCUCUAAUUACAAGUUUACAUCUGUAACAGUCAAACCCAGUCCUGCUAAACACAUGCUCUGCUUCUGCCAACUUCAAUGUUCAGCAUUUUUCAGGACCAAGAACCAAGGUAAUCUCCGUAUCCUGCAAGGACUCACUAAAGAAAGUAGCACAGUAUCUGAAGAAAGCACAUUUGCAUGGUCUGUAUUUUUCAUGCUGCUUCAGUAAAAGAAAGAUAAUUGAACAAAAUUAGAAUCUCCUCCAGAAUUUUGUUGUGAGACAUAGACAAAUUAAAAGUUUGAACACUGUUUGGGGCAAAAUGAGAGAACAGAGCAGAGAAGAGAAUUUGGAGCUGUUCUACAU
This 650-nucleotide long non-coding RNA is filed under the name Anser brachyrhynchus (Pink-footed goose). RNAcentral describes it as "lncRNA (ENSABRG00000009047.1)". Lineage: Eukaryota; Metazoa; Chordata; Aves; Anseriformes; Anatidae. The record is from RNAcentral.